RNAcentral lists this ribosomal RNA (488 nucleotides) under uncultured bacterium. RNAcentral describes it as "partial 16S ribosomal RNA". It matches the Rfam family "Bacterial small subunit ribosomal RNA", at positions 28 to 507 of the family's 1533-position model. The record is from RNAcentral.
GACGAACGCUGGCGGCGUGCUUAACACAUGCAAGUCGAACGGAAAGGCCCUGCUUUUGUGGGGUGCUCGAGUGGCGAACGGGUGAGUAACACGUGAGUAACCUGCCCUUGACUUUGGGAUAACUUCAGGAAACUGGGGCUAAUACCGGAUAGGAGCUCCUGCUGCAUGGUGGGGGUUGGAAAGUUUCGGCGGUUGGGGAUGGACUCGCGGCUUUUCAGCUUGUUGGUGGGGUAGUGGCUUACCCAGGCUUUGACGGGUAGCCGGCCUGGGAGGGUGAUCGGCCACCUGGGAAGUGAGACAGGGUCCAGAGUCCUACGGGAGGCAGCAGUGGGGAAUAUUGGACAAUGGGCGCAAGCGUGGUCCAGACAUACCGCGUGGGUGAAGAAGGCCUUCGGGUUGUAAAGCCCGUUUGUUGGGAAAGAAAAGCAGCAGGUUAAUACCCCGCUGUUCUGACGGUACCCAAAGAAUAAGCACCGGCUAACUUCGUG